This 66-nucleotide transfer RNA is filed under the name Trigonopterus sp. 5 AH-2016. Its description in RNAcentral is "tRNA-Arg". Lineage: Eukaryota; Metazoa; Arthropoda; Insecta; Coleoptera; Curculionidae. The record is from RNAcentral.
AGUGAAAAGCAAAAAAAUUUGCAUUUAAUUUCGACCUAAACUUAGAUACUUAUAGUAUCUUCACUU